GAGAAUAAUGCCCGAUAGAACAUUAUGCCUGGAAUGGUUUAUGUUUCAAAUGAUUUAUCGCCAUAGGAUGGGACUGCGGCCUAUCAGUUUGUUGGUGAGGUAAUGGCCCACCAAGACUAUUACAGGUACGGGCUCUGAGAGGAGUGGCCCGGAGAUGGGUACUGAGACACGGACCCAGGCCCUAUGGGGCGCAGCAGGCGAGAAAACUUUGCAAUGUGCGAAAGCACGACAAGGUUAAUCCGAGUGGUUUCUGCUAAAGAAACCUUUUGUCAGUCCUAGAAACACUAACGAAUAAGGGGUGGGCAAGUUCUGGUGUCAGCCGCCGCGGUAAAACCAGCACCUCAAGUGGUCAGGAUGAUUAUUGGGCCUAAAGCAUCCGUAGCCCGUUUUGUAAGUUUUCGGUUAAAUCCAUGCGCUUAACGUAUGGGCUGCCGGGAAUACUGCAUAACUAGGAAGUGGGAGAGGUAGACGGUACUCGGUAGGAAGGGGUAAAAUCCUUUGAUCUAUUGAUGACCACCUGUGGCGAAGGCGGUCUACCAGAACACGUUCGACGGUGAGGGAUGAAAGCUGGGGGAGCAAACCGGAUUAGAUACCCGGGUAGUCCCAGCUGUAAACUAUGCAAACUCAGUGAUGCAUUGGCUUGUGGCCAAUGCAGUGCUGCAGGGAAGCCGUUAAGUUUGCCGCCUGGGAAGUACGUACGCAAGUAUGAAACUUAAAGGAAUUGGCGGGGGAGCACCACAAGGGGUGAAGCCUGCGGUUC
RNAcentral lists this ribosomal RNA (760 nucleotides) under uncultured archaeon. RNAcentral's name for it is "bacterial SSU rRNA". It matches the Rfam family "Archaeal small subunit ribosomal RNA", at positions 142 to 903 of the family's 1478-position model. The record is from RNAcentral.